UUUACAUGCACUGAACAUCUGUUGUGUUACAGGUUUAAACCAGUUUCUGAUCACUUAAACUGGUUUGUGUCUAAUGUCCUUCCCUAGCCUUGAUGUCUGCACAAGCAAGUUCCUGAAGAAUCCAGGUACUAGGGACAAGUCUGAACCAAGCACUGUUAUUGAGCUUAUCACAUGAGCAUUUAUUCCAAAACCUGCAACACUGAAGGAGGAUACAUAUCUGCUUGUGUAUUUCACGUUACUAAAACACAAAUACAAGAGUCUACAGUAAGGAAACUCAAAGACUAUAUUUUUUUCCCCUACAGAAAAAUCAAGUCUGUUCAUUACAUCCAGUAAAUGCUAAAUUGAUAGAAGUUACUCAGUCUUGACACUUGCAUCCAUUUUCUAACUUUCACCCAACCUGUAACUUACACCCCCAUUCAUGUCAUCACCAAACUUCAUUGACCUUCAAUUUUAGUCUCAGCUCUGGAGCUCAAUCCUUUUGUGUCUUCCAGUCAGACUGCUCAUGCUAUUAAAGCAUAUUUUUUGUGGUUUACAAAUCAAUAUAACAUGGAACCUUCAGACUGCAGGCUCUCACUAAAGAAACGACCAUAUUCUCUGCCUGGGAGCUCACUCAGUUUCUAUUGAAGUCAAUAGGAGCCACAUGCAACCAUGCACAUAUGACUUUAAAAGUAAAUACUUGAUCAUUGCUAAGAUCAAAACAAUAAAACUGGCUUGAAUUUGUCAUACAUCUGCUUCUGUGAGUGUAAACUUGGAAAUAAGUGCAAGAUAAAAUAGCAUCUAGUUGAAUAAUGCUUAUUGUAACAGCAGUAACAAAACCUCCAUUGUGAUUUCAGUCUGACUACCAUUCUUCUAGUCAAGUGCAAACGUCUUUGAAGAUUUCAGGGUUUUCUUGUUUCAGUGAACGGACGCAGAAGACGGCAUGAGAACUGCAUCAGAGACACCAACUGGCGGCUUCGGCAGUGGUGUCUAGAGGCAGGCUUCGGCUUCCUGGACAACGACCCGCACAUUACGACGAGGGACAUGCUCAGUUGGGAUGGGCUUCACCUGUCCCUCAAAGGUUACGAAACGUCUGGACACAGGAGGAGGGGUGGAUGUCAUAUACUUAGACUUCAGGAAGGCCUUCGAUACAGUAUCCCACCCCAUACUGGUGAACAAGUUAAGAGGCUGUGACUUGGAUGACUACACAGUCUGUUUUGCUCCAUUGACUGGGAGGCCAGUUGAAGGCGUUCAGUUGCCAUUUUGGUGACAUUAGUUGCAGACCCAGGAAUUCAAAAAUUCAGAAAUUCAAGAAGUCAAGAGACCACUUAACAAGGUGGACCACAAGAAGGCUUUCACCAUCCACCCCAAGCAGUACUGUGCACCUGUCUGGGUCUCAGGUCAACAUACCAAACUCACUAACACACAACUCUCCUCAGUAAUGAGGACUCUCUCUAGAACUGUGAUAUCAGCUCCAGUGCUGUGGCUACCAAUACUUUCAAACAUUACUCCUCCCUCUAUUCAACGAGAUGCAGCAACAUACAAAGAAAUAAUGCAUAUCAAUAGUAAUCCUGACCUUCCCAUCCACAGAGACCUUCAGUAUCUCCCAGCUUGUCACAUGAUUUCAUGAAAAUCUUUUGGAUACAAACUGAGCACUUCCUAUACCACAACACUGAAGAAUCUUGGAGGAAGGCUUUGGCAGAAAACACUUUCCCAAAUAAACAACUUGUUUCGGACUGAAUGAUGCAGCGACAGGGCUUCAACCUUCCACGGAUCAUGUGGACAACCCUUAAUAGGAUACGCACUGGACAUGGCCAGUGUGGCCACCUGAUGUACAAGUGGUGCCUAAAAACCUCGCCUGGCUGCGACUGUGGAAACCCUGACCAAACCAUGGAGCACAUAACAACAUCCUGUCCCAGUUACAAGUUUGAGGACAACAUCCUGAAGUUACACUCACUUCCCAGCAGGGCAUUGGUCUGUUUGGGGAAUUUGGAAUUAAAACUGUGACGAUAGAUCUUGCUCCUAAAGCCAUACGAAAGAGAGAAGAAAAGAAAGCCUAUGCAUCACUGUCUACAGAUAGAUCUGUCUCUCUCAACCAAUAGACACAAACACAUUAAGGCCCUGUGGAUGUUUCUUGUCUCUUAUUUUCUUUAUUAAUCUAUUUCCUAGUUAAGUAGUUUAUCCUCUCUACUUAACAUAUAAAACACAAUGAAGGCCCAAAAUUCAAGUUUUGGUUUUAUUGCUUAUCCAUUAUAGUUGAAUUUGAGAGAUAAACUAAAAAAAAACUUCAUGGAGCUAUGAUAGAAAGAAACCAGUUACACAAAUUACAUCAUUGGUUGAUUUGAUUUUCCCAAGGCUAGGUUAGCUUCUAUAUAGUUCGAUGUGCCAGGACCAAAAAUUGGGAAACGUAUCAAGACAAAUAUUUUUUAAAAUGAAUACAUCUUGCUGCUUUGAGUUAUGGUAGUUUAAAAUAUAAACAACUAUGCAAAUAGGAAACAUAUUAGGUUGAAAAUCUAGAAACAUAACGUUGCAAAAGUAAAAACCAGGUCCUCACUUGGUGCAAGUCAGCAGACCCCCAUUGACCUCAAUGCACCUGUACCAUCUUCCAUAAAUUGACCAUUUGGCCCAUAUUGCAUAAACUCAGGGAAGUUUGGAGCUGAGCCUAAGAGAUGGUAUGUACUUAUAACACUGUUUGAAGAUGUUGGGAUAUAACUAAUGCAUGUUUAUUGAGAAAGAGUAAAAACGGAGUAUUCAGGAAAAUUCCCAUUUUCUUCAACUGAAAUAGAGUCACUAGUUUGCAAUGGAGACAUAAAACUAGCUAAAGUCAAUGGGAUCUCUUUGUGCUUGAGACACUUAAAGCUGAGUAAGGACUUAAUUAACUGAAACUCAUAGAAAAUGUGCCUUAAUUAAGACUGAAAAAAUGAUUUUUCAGACAUGAAUAUGAGAUAGGACCUUUCUCCACUUAUUUUUAAAAGGAAUGUGGACUUGUACAACACCCCCACCCCCCGCAAGUGAAUACUGGCAAAGACUUUAAUAUAUCACCCAAGCUGCUAAUGCUUUUCAGUUGGUGUCCUAAACAACAUGAAAGAAAUACAGGCAGAAGAAGUAGAUCCAUAGGUGGUUUGUUGGGAGGCCACACCCCCUUUCCAACCACACUCCAGGGUCUGCAGCUAGGGACUUUUAAGUUCUCAGAGCAGGCAAGAAUUCCCCCUUCCCUCCAUACUCAGAGGCAUGUCCCCUUCCCUCCACUGCCGCUGUCCCAGGGGCAGGGGAAGGCUCCAGAACUGUUCCUGCCUGCUCCAGAUGGGUUGCAAGGAGGCCAGGCUCAGCCCACGACAAUGGCAGCAGCAGGUAGAUUACCCCUCUCUGCCUGGUCCCCCUGGGCAUUCCCAUCAGCCCCAGAAGCACACACAGAAAGGAAGGCUGGGAGCAAACCUGCAGCACUUGUCACUGCUCCCACACCCACCUUUGCAAAAUCCUGGAUCUGCUUCUGAAUACAGAUAUCCUCAAUCCAUGCAAGAGGCCAUUAAAUGAUUCAGUGUGAAGUGGCUGAAACUAAAAGGAAAUAAUUGGUCCUUCAAUGCAAAGUUAACUCUAGCAAUAAUUGGAGUUUUACCCCUAAGCCAAGUCCAGUCUAGACACAAACAUUUAAUUUAACUGGCUGGCCCAAGAUAGGGUAUAGGUUGCUGUUUGAGGGUGCAGACAGAAGUGACAAUUUUCCCCUGAUCAGGCCCCUGAAAGUCCUGUCAGCCAUGACCAAACAGAAGGGCAUGGCUGCAAAGUGCUUUAAAAGGGCCUGAUCCCACAAAAAUCUGAAGACGAAGACGUUUCUAAAUACGGCAUCUUCAGUAACUUCCAUCUGCGCUGCCUCCCAGCCUGUCACUGUUUUCAGAAUGGGAGGGGGGAAAGAGAGUUCAGUCUGGGGUUUUUUCAAUCACACACUGGAUGGUGGCGUGGGUGGAUUGAGAUCCACAGCAUUAGGCUAUCAAAGCAAAAAAAAACAUAUGUAGAUGUUGUGGAUCACUGCUUCUUUCACAGCUCUUUUCUCUUGUCAUGAGUUUGAUGUGAGUACGAGUAUGCUCCCAGCCAGAAGCUAGAUUCCCUUCCCCUCUGAAACCAACAGUGAACUUCUGUUUGGUCGGGGGGAUCAUUGCAACUCAUAACACUUCCUGCAAAGUGUUCCGAGUUACAGUGGAGAGCUGCACUUCUGUCUGCACCCUGAGUUAUCACCAGUCAUCAGCUGCUAACACAACCUCUGCAACUUUGAGUGUUAGUUGGCAGUACAGCUGCUCUCUCUCACAUGAGCUUGCUUAACUCAAAAGAAGUUAACUUAAGUUCAGUUAACUCUGUAGGGGAAGAUAUUGCUAAACAUAUACCAAACAAAAUAUCAGCAGAUGAGCAUAACUUCUGUUACUAAGAGCUGAGGCAGACUUGCUUCAAAAGCUUCUUAAAGGAAAGUAACAGAUUCAUGUCAGUAAGUUAUUUUGAUUAAGAUUAUAACUUCUUGUUUAUGACUCUAAGCAAUGUUAAAGCUGGGACUAGUAUAUGCAGUUGAGACAAAAUUUAUUUACCCAAAGGGUAGUUGAAAUAUGCAACAAACUUGACAUGUGCAGCAAUAAAAGUAAAUAAUGUUGGUCAGUUCAAGGAAGAAGUAAAACCAUGUUUAUGGAAGGAAUCAGAGGCCACAGCUACUAACUGAGCUUUCAGGUUCACAAUGGUGAUAGAUUGGUUACUUAGAUUGUUUCAGGGUUAAUAAGGGUAAGCCUCAAUAGGUCAAUGAACUUUUCAUGUCUUGUAUAUGUUCUUGUGGUAUGUAAACUAACAACAUUAGGCUAUCAAAGCAAAAAAACCCUAUGUAGAUGUUGUGGAUCACUGCUUCUUUCACGGCUCUUUUCCCUUGUCAUGAGUUUGAUGCGAGUAUGAAGCAAGUGCUGGAUGUAAAACACUGACAAGUAAAGUAUUUAGUUUUGACCUGCUCACAAUUGAGUAGAAAGGGCCAUAACGAUGAAGGGCAAGAAAUAAGAACUAAAAUGAAAAGUAAAGAGACAACUGAAAAAAUAUUAAAGCCUGAGGUCUUCACCCUCUCCCUUUGGUGAGAAAUUAAAAAACAAAUAUCAGAAAGAACAUGAUACCAUUCAAAACAAACAUGCCUCCCAGACAGUGCAUCAAGGGAACCAUUCUGUUUUGUGAAGUAUUAUCAGACUAUAAAUGGACAGAGUGUGAAAUCAAACCAGAGCUCCAGCAAGAGGAUUCUUCAGGAAAAGCGACAGUCAGAAUGUAUAGCAAUCUUUCAUCUGAAACAGAUAAGAUAUCCACACUUUCAGAUCUAGGGAAAGAAAAAAAAACGGCUUUUGCAGUCUAGAGGAAACCAGAUUGGCAACGACUUUUAUGAAAGAAGAACCUGAAGCAAUGUAGCCUUUAGGUGUCUAUGAAUCCGUAGGAGAGAUGCAUUAUAUAUCAAUGAAAGAAAAAGUAAAAGAAGUAGGUGUGACGAGGCAUGCUCCCAGACCCAGUCACAGUGCCAGCCCACCACCUGUCUUUGAGCAAGCUGCCCACCUUACUCACAUACCAGGCCUUAUUGUCAAUUAAUUAUGGUGUUAAUUAGGCAGGAGGCUGCCCCUCGAGCACCCUGCUGUUCACAGGUGGUAAACACACAACUCUGACCUCCCCUUCAUCAUGUCCUGUGCCUUGCAGCUGUCAUCUCUGAGCUGGUCUAUACUCCGGCCUGAGGCCGGGCAAACUCAGUACACAGUUAGACCUCUCUCAUACUGCCCUGUUCACGGUCUCACUCAUACAGCAUCUCCCUCUCACUGGGGCUUCUAUCGCUCCAUCGCCUGCUCACACCAGGCCUCUCACACUCAUUCGUUUUACCGGGCCUCACUCACACCACCCUGGCCCCUUGGGUGACCACACAGGUCAUCAGGCUUGACCCUGCACUCCUUGGCUCGCCCCUGGUGCAGCCUUCUGGGCCUCUCCCAUGACCCUCAUCUGUGUGGUGGCCAGGCAGUUAAUCAAAUUCUGGGCUGACUUCACCUCUAGCCCCACACCAGGUAACUCAUCCCUCAUUGGGGCCAAUUACUAGCCCCACUUACUCACAGCUCCUUCUGAGCCACCUACUCGGCCUCAGGUCCACAUGCAGCAUAAGGCACCCAAAGGUUUACCUGGGCCUCUCUCCCCCUUCCUCACAGGAGGUCAACACACUCGCCCCCUUCUCUGGGGCUCAACACACUCGUCCCCUCUGCUGGAGCCCCCUAUGGGCUCUGGUGCCUCCCGUGGGCAUGUCUGACCCCACUACUCCCCAAGGUCUUACACCUCAAUGGGCUCAGGUGCCCCUCAUUCGGGAAUGCCUGGCCCCACUAUUCUCCCUGGGCUCAGGUGCCCCUACUUGGGUGUGCCUGGCCUGACUGCUCUCUGGACUUAUAACCCACCAGAACGGUGAGAGCUGGGGUUUUAAGGCACCCCUCCUCACCUUUCACUGUAGAGGUAACUGGCCCAAUAUUUCUUGGGGGCUCCCUCGCCACAAGGAGUCCCACCAGGCCACCCUUCCCCAGCAGGGUGCAGUUUUCAGUCAUACCCAGGACCAGGAGCCUCCUGUCAUCCCUAUAGCUGCUGCCCUUACCUCCAAGUUGUUCCUUGAGCAGCAGGGCAGCCGGGUGAUAACAGCCCUUACGUGGCGAGCACCCCACUGGUGCUGCACCACACACCUUCCCCCUUAAAAUGACUGCUCAGUGGUAUCUCCUGGCUGCCUUCUUUGCAGGCACUUCUCCAGCCUGCCGCAGCCCAUGCUACGUGACAAGCACCCCAGCUGUGCUCCACCACAGUAGGAAGCAAUGAGAACUGAAGUUUUUUUAGACUGCAUGCCAGUAGACUAGACAAGGGGUGCUCAACUCCUGGCUGAAUCCAGCCAUGGCAUCCAGCCCACGGUGCUCCCCACAGGUAAGUAAAUUUGGCAGCAAUUAACACUACCACCCCUGCCUCAUGCACUGGAUUGGGCCCUGCCACAGUGGAUCAGGUCCACUGGCCAGAUCCAGCCAGCAGGAAGACCUGGCACCACCCAUCCAGCCCAUAGUGUGGGCAACCUUUUUACAACUGAACUAAACCUUUAGAUACUCUAAAUUGGCUUAGUUCCAAUGACACUGAUAUUUAUGAAAGUGCUUUGGUCACUGGCAACUCUGAAUAGUUCUGAGUACACCACUGGACCUGCACCUUGCUGCAAAUUAGUUUAAAAACACAAAUGCAUUUCUAACCAUUACAAUUCCAAUCUUGUAUUAACCAAUGUAGUUAGAACGGUCUGAACUCAGAGCCUGAAGGAAUAUAUUUAACUAAGGGGGCUGCCAGAUAUGUUUCUGAGUAUCCAUCACAAUAGUACAUGGAAACCUAAGGAUGAUAUGAAAGAAAUCAAUGUUGUUAACCUUCUACUGUACAUUUUAAUAAAUGAUCCAGUAAUGUGCUUAUCCAACAGUUCAAAACAGCUUCCAAUACCUUCUACAAUGUUGAAAGCUCCAGCUGUUCCCUUUUACCCAAAUAUUUAAGCCUCCAGUUUCUUCCUUAAAGCUUCUAAAAUGCA
This is a long non-coding RNA of Alligator mississippiensis (American alligator), 7543 nucleotides long. RefSeq lists it as uncharacterized. NCBI's taxonomy places the organism in Eukaryota, Metazoa, Chordata, Crocodylia, Alligatoridae. The transcript is spliced from 4 exons. The record is from RefSeq and is a predicted model, not a curated record.